AUGCUCCCCUCGGCAGCACAUAUACUAAAAUUGGAAUGAUACAGAGAUUAGCAUGGCCCCUGGGCAAGGGUGACAUGCAACCCAGCAGAUUCUCCCUACGGUCUG
Small nuclear RNA from Ailuropoda melanoleuca (giant panda), 105 nucleotides. NCBI's taxonomy places the organism in Eukaryota, Metazoa, Chordata, Mammalia, Carnivora, Ursidae. The record is from Ensembl.